CAGCAGCCGCGGUAAUACGAAGGGGGCUAGCGUUGUUCGGAAUUACUGGGCGUAAAGCGCACGUAGGCGGACAUUUAAGUCAGGGGUGAAAUCCCGGGGCUCAACCCCGGAACUGCCUUUGAUACUGGGUGUCUAGAGUAUGGAAGAGGUGAGUGGAAUUCCGAGUGUAGAGGUGAAAUUCGUAGAUAUUCGGAGGAACACCAGUGGCGAAGGCGGCUAACUGGUCCAUUACUGACGCUGAGGUGCGAAAGCGUGGGGAGCAAACAGGAUUAGAUACCCCUGUAGUCCCUGUCUCUUAUAU
This 301-nucleotide ribosomal RNA is filed under the name uncultured bacterium. RNAcentral's name for it is "partial 16S ribosomal RNA". It matches the Rfam family "Bacterial small subunit ribosomal RNA", at positions 509 to 809 of the family's 1533-position model. The record is from RNAcentral.